Molecule: ribosomal RNA, 443 nt
Filed under: uncultured bacterium
Lineage: Bacteria
Description: partial 16S ribosomal RNA
Rfam family: Bacterial small subunit ribosomal RNA
Source: RNAcentral
CCUACGGGUGGCAGCAGUGGGGAAUCUUGCGCAAUGGGCGAAAGCCUGACGCAGCGACGCCGCGUGAGUGAAGCAGUAUUUCGGUAUGUAAAGCUCUAUCAGCAGGGAAGAAAGAAAUGACGGUACCUGACUAAGAAACCCCGGCUAACUACGUGCCAGCAGCCGCGGUAAUCCGUAGGGGGCAAGCGUUAUCCGGAUUUACUGGGUGUAAAGGGAGCGUAGACGGACAUGCAAGUCUGAAGUGAAAGGCGGGGGCCCAACCCCCGGACUGCUUUGGAAACUGUAUGGCUGGAGUGCAGGAGAGGUAAGUGGAAUUCCUAGUGUAGCGGUGAAAUGCGUAGAUAUUAGGAGGAACACCAGUGGCGAAGGCGGCUUACUGGACUGUAACUGACGUUGAGGCUCGAAAGCGUGGGGAGCAAACAGGAUUAGAUACCCUUGUAGUC